AUGAAAUCUGAAAUGAUUUUAAUUUUCAUGUUUUUCUCAUUCCUUGUAUCUCUCCAGAUUAACAGUGUGGCUUCUUCCUGUUUACAAAGAUGGGAAAGUGGAAAAGUGGUGAUUAUUAUUUGGAGAGCCCAAAAAGUACAUUGUUAUUAUACCAAUAAAAGGAGACCAUAUGUCCACAUUCAUUUUUGGCUACUUCACAAAACAGAAACAGAGGGCAGAUAUAAAGAAGUCUUGAAGAGAAAAACACCGAUGGCCAAAUUCUCCCUCAUUCCACACAAACAUGUGCAUGUACAUGCAGGUACAUAUCCCUUCCAGCCAAGGGCUGUUUUGAGGACGAAAUGUAGAGUGCUUCUUCAACCUUUAGUUCCAGUAAAAAUAAUUAUUAUUCAUUUCCUUCUCUCGUUCCUAUUUUUGAAAGAGAGCUAAUAGAAAUUGUCCUGGGGAUAAAAUGGCGAUGUCACAUACAUCAUUGACAAGUUCACUGAAUUCCACUGUCAGAAAUUUUACUUUGACAAAAAAUGUUUUGCAAAUUGUUUCUCAGGACUUGUGAAGUCAUAGUGCUGGCUGAUGAGGUCCUAAAUGUUAGAUUAUCAAAGGAAAGUGGCAUGGAAUGAGAAGAUAGAAUGGUUCUACACUUCUUCUGGAAACAAAGGAAAACCCCUCGAAGGACCUGGCAACGCAUUAAUAAAUAUCAUUUUACACAUAUUCA
This 709-nucleotide long non-coding RNA is filed under the name Monodelphis domestica (gray short-tailed opossum). Its description in RNAcentral is "lncRNA (ENSMODG00000031261.2)". Lineage: Eukaryota; Metazoa; Chordata; Mammalia; Didelphimorphia; Didelphidae. The record is from RNAcentral.